GACGAACGCUGGCGGCGUGCCUAAUACAUGCAAGUCGAGCGAACAGACGAGGAGUUUGUUCCUCUGACGAGUGCGGCGGAGGUGUGAGAAACACGUGUAUAAUGCACCUAUAAGACUGGUAUAACUUCGGGAAACCGGAUCUAACACCGUAUAAGAUAUUGAAGCAUAUGGUUCAAUAGUGAAAUACGGUGUUGCUGUUACUUAUAGAUGGUUCCGCGCCGCAUGAGCUAGUUGGUAAGGUAACGGCUUACCAAGGCAACGAUGCGUAGCCGACCUGAGAGGCGGAUCGCCCACAUUGGAACUGGACCACGGUCAAGACUCCUACGGGAGGCACCAGAAGGGAAUCUUCCGCAAUGGGCGAAAGCCUGACGGAGCAAGGCGGCGUGAUUAAUGAAGGUCUUGGGUUCGUAAAACCUGGUUAUUGGGGAAAAACAAAUGUGUAAGGAACUGUGCACGUCUUGACGGUACCUAAUCAGAAAGCCACGGCUAACUACGUG
Molecule: ribosomal RNA, 497 nt
Filed under: uncultured bacterium
Lineage: Bacteria
Description: partial 16S ribosomal RNA
Rfam family: Bacterial small subunit ribosomal RNA
Source: RNAcentral